This is a non-coding RNA of Pelobates cultripes (western spadefoot toad), 126 nucleotides long. The record is from the annotation of a GenBank genome assembly. Lineage: Eukaryota; Metazoa; Chordata; Amphibia; Anura; Pelobatidae.
GUAUGUGUGUGUGUGUGUGUGUGUAUGUAUCUAUAUAUAUAUAUAUAUAUACAUACACAUAUAUAUAUAUAUAUAUAUAUAUAUAUAUAUAUAUAGAUACAUACACACACACACACACACACGGCG